CCUACGGGUGGCUGCAGUGGGGAAUAUUGCACAAUGGGGGAAACCCUGAUGCAGCGACGCCGCGUGAGUGAAGAAGGAAUUCGUUACGGAAAGCUUUAUCAGCAGGGAAGAAACACUGACCUUACGGUCAGCAGACUGUACCUGAGUAAGAAGCCGCGGCUAACUACGUGCAAGCAGCCGCGGUAAUACGUAGGGGGCAAGCGUUAUCCGGAUUUAUUGGGUUUAAAGGGUGCGCAGGCGGAAGAUCAAGUAAGCGGUAAAAUUGAGAGGUUCAACCUCUGCGAGCCGUUGAAACUGGUGGUCUUGAGUGAGCGAGAAGUAUGCGGAAUGCGUGGUGUAGCGGUGAAAUGCAUAGAUAUCACGCAGAACUCCGAUUGCGAAGGCAGCAUACCGGAGCGCAACUGACGCUCAUGCACGAAAGUGUGGGUAUCGAACAGGAUUAGAUACCCCUGUAGUC
RNAcentral lists this ribosomal RNA (457 nucleotides) under uncultured bacterium. RNAcentral's name for it is "partial 16S ribosomal RNA". It matches the Rfam family "Bacterial small subunit ribosomal RNA", at positions 338 to 795 of the family's 1533-position model. The record is from RNAcentral.